This 58-nucleotide ribosomal RNA is filed under the name uncultured bacterium. RNAcentral describes it as "partial 16S ribosomal RNA". The record is from RNAcentral.
UAGAGCUAACCCUGACCCUUAGACUCUUGGAAUAAACAGCUAGGAAAACAGCUGCUAA